Molecule: transfer RNA, 76 nt
Filed under: archaeon
Lineage: Archaea
Also listed under: 2 other names
Description: tRNA-Gln
Rfam family: tRNA
About the family: Transfer RNA (tRNA) molecules are approximately 80 nucleotides in length. Their secondary structure includes four short double-helical elements and three loops (D, anti-codon, and T loops).
Source: RNAcentral
AGCCCCGUAGUGUAGUGGUCAAUCAUGUUGGCCUUUGGAGCCAGCGACGGCAGUUCGAAUCUGCCCGGGGCUACCA